CAGCCGUAAACAAUGUGCGUUAGGCGUGUCGGUAACCACGUGUUACUGAUGCGCCGAAGAGAAAUCGUGAAACGCACCACCUGGGAAGUACGGUCGCAAGGCUGAAACUUAAAGGAAUUGGCGGGGAGCACCACAACAAGUGGAGCCUGCGGUUUAAUUGGAUUCAACGCCGGACAUCUCACCGGAUAAGACAGCUGAAUGAUUGUCAAUCUGAAGGUUUUACAUGACUAGCUGAGAGGUGGUGCAUGGCGUCAGUGACU
This 260-nucleotide ribosomal RNA is filed under the name uncultured archaeon. Its description in RNAcentral is "partial 16S ribosomal RNA". It matches the Rfam family "Archaeal small subunit ribosomal RNA", at positions 748 to 1008 of the family's 1478-position model. The record is from RNAcentral.